RNAcentral lists this ribosomal RNA (2904 nucleotides) under Klebsiella pneumoniae. RNAcentral describes it as "23S ribosomal RNA". It matches the Rfam family "Bacterial large subunit ribosomal RNA". The record is from RNAcentral. Lineage: Bacteria; Pseudomonadati; Pseudomonadota; Gammaproteobacteria; Enterobacterales; Enterobacteriaceae.
GGUUAAGCGACUAAGCGUACACGGUGGAUGCCCUGGCAGUCAGAGGCGAUGAAGGACGUGCUAAUCUGCGAAAAGCGUCGGUAAGGUGAUAUGAACCGUUAUAGCCGGCGAUGUCCGAAUGGGGAAACCCAGUGCAAUUCGUUGCACUAUCGUUAACUGAAUACAUAGGUUAACGAGGCGAACCGGGGGAACUGAAACAUCUAAGUACCCCGAGGAAAAGAAAUCAACCGAGAUUCCCCCAGUAGCGGCGAGCGAACGGGGAGCAGCCCAGAGUCUGAAUCAGCUUGUGUGUUAGUGGAACGGUCUGGAAAGUCCGACGGUACAGGGUGAUAGUCCCGUACACCAAAAUGCACAGGCUGUGAACUCGAAGAGUAGGGCGGGACACGUGGUAUCCUGUCUGAAUAUGGGGGGACCAUCCUCCAAGGCUAAAUACUCCUGACUGACCGAUAGUGAACCAGUACCGUGAGGGAAAGGCGAAAAGAACCCCGGCGAGGGGAGUGAAAAAGAACCUGAAACCGUGUACGUACAAGCAGUGGGAGCACCUUCGGGUGUGACUGCGUACCUUUUGUAUAAUGGGUCAGCGACUUAUAUUCUGUAGCAAGGUUAACCGUAUAGGGGAGCCGCAGGGAAACCGAGUCUUAACUGGGCGUUAAGUUGCAGGGUAUAGACCCGAAACCCGGUGAUCUAGCCAUGGGCAGGUUGAAGGUUGGGUAACACUAACUGGAGGACCGAACCGACUAAUGUUGAAAAAUUAGCGGAUGACUUGUGGCUGGGGUGAAAGGCCAAUCAAACCGGGAGAUAGCUGGUUCUCCCCGAAAGCUAUUUAGGUAGCGCCUCGUGAAUUCAUCUUCGGGGGUAGAGCACUGUUUCGGCUAGGGGGUCAUCCCGACUUACCAACCCGAUGCAAACUACGAAUACCGAAGAAUGUUAUCACGGGAGACACACGGCGGGUGCUAACGUCCGUCGUGAAGAGGGAAACAACCCAGACCGCCAGCUAAGGUCCCAAAGUCAUGGUUAAGUGGGAAACGAUGUGGGAAGGCACAGACAGCCAGGAUGUUGGCUUAGAAGCAGCCAUCAUUUAAAGAAAGCGUAAUAGCUCACUGGUCGAGUCGGCCUGCGCGGAAGAUGUAACGGGGCUAAACCAUGCACCGAAGCUGCGGCAGCGACACUAUGUGUUGUUGGGUAGGGGAGCGUUCUGUAAGCCUGCGAAGGUGACCUGUGAGGGUUGCUGGAGGUAUCAGAAGUGCGAAUGCUGACAUAAGUAACGAUAAAGCGGGUGAAAAGCCCGCUCGCCGGAAGACCAAGGGUUCCUGUCCAACGUUAAUCGGGGCAGGGUGAGUCGACCCCUAAGGCGAGGCCGAAAGGCGUAGUCGAUGGGAAACAGGUUAAUAUUCCUGUACUUGGUGUUACUGCGAAGGGGGGACGGAGAAGGCUAUGUUAGCCGGGCGACGGUUGUCCCGGUUUAAGCAUGUAGGCUGGUUAUCCAGGCAAAUCCGGAUAAUCAAGGCUGAGGUGUGAUGACGAGGCACUACGGUGCUGAAGUAACAAAUGCCCUGCUUCCAGGAAAAGCCUCUAAGCAUCAGGUAACAUCAAAUCGUACCCCAAACCGACACAGGUGGUCAGGUAGAGAAUACCAAGGCGCUUGAGAGAACUCGGGUGAAGGAACUAGGCAAAAUGGUGCCGUAACUUCGGGAGAAGGCACGCUGGUGUGUAGGUGAAGUCCCUGCGGAUGGAGCUGAGACCAGUCGAAGAUACCAGCUGGCUGCAACUGUUUAUUAAAAACACAGCACUGUGCAAACACGAAAGUGGACGUAUACGGUGUGACGCCUGCCCGGUGCCGGAAGGUUAAUUGAUGGGGUUAUCCGUAAGGAGAAGCUCUUGAUCGAAGCCCCGGUAAACGGCGGCCGUAACUAUAACGGUCCUAAGGUAGCGAAAUUCCUUGUCGGGUAAGUUCCGACCUGCACGAAUGGCGUAAUGAUGGCCAGGCUGUCUCCACCCGAGACUCAGUGAAAUUGAACUCGCUGUGAAGAUGCAGUGUACCCGCGGCAAGACGGAAAGACCCCCGUGAACCUUUACUAUAGCUUGACACUGAACAUUGAGCCUUGAUGUGUAGGAUAGGUGGGAGGCUUUGAAGCGUGGACGCCAGUCUGCGUGGAGCCAACCUUGAAAUACCACCCUUUAAUGUUUGAUGUUCUAACGUUGGCCCCUUACCGGGGUUGCGGACAGUGUCUGGUGGGUAGUUUGACUGGGGCGGUCUCCUCCCAAAGCGUAACGGAGGAGCACGAAGGUUAGCUAAUCCCUGGUCGGACAUCAGGAGGUUAGUGCAAUGGCAUAAGCUAGCUUGACUGCGAGCGUGACGGCGCGAGCAGGUGCGAAAGCAGGUCAUAGUGAUCCGGUGGUUCUGAAUGGAAGGGCCAUCGCUCAACGGAUAAAAAGGUACUCCGGGGAUAACAGGCUGAUACCGCCCAAGAGUUCAUAUCGACGGCGGUGUUUGGCACCUCGAUGUCGGCUCAUCACAUCCUGGGGCUGAAGUAGGUCCCAAGGGUAUGGCUGUUCGCCAUUUAAAGUGGUACGCGAGCUGGGUUUAGAACGUCGUGAGACAGUUCGGUCCCUAUCUGCCGUGGGCGCUGGAGAAUUGAGGGGGGCUGCUCCUAGUACGAGAGGACCGGAGUGGACGCAUCACUGGUGUUCGGGUUGUCAUGCCAAUGGCACUGCCCGGUAGCUAAAUGCGGAAGAGAUAAGUGCUGAAAGCAUCUAAGCACGAAACUUGCCCCGAGAUGAGUUCUCCCUGAGACUUUAAGUCUCCUGAAGGAACGUUAAAGACGAUGACGUUGAUAGGCCGGGUGUGUAAGCGCAGCGAUGCGUUGAGCUAACCGGUACUAAUGAACCGUGAGGCUUAACCUU